RNAcentral lists this ribosomal RNA (429 nucleotides) under uncultured archaeon. Its description in RNAcentral is "bacterial SSU rRNA". It matches the Rfam family "Archaeal small subunit ribosomal RNA", at positions 474 to 903 of the family's 1478-position model. The record is from RNAcentral.
UACCUGCAGCUCAAGUGGUGACCGCUAUUAUUGGGCCUAAAACGUUCGUAGCCGGUUUGGUAAAUGCCUGGGUAAAUCGUGUAGCUUAACUAUACGAAUUCCGGGUAGACUGCUAAACUUGAGACCGGGAGAAGCUAGAGGUACUCCUGGGGUAGAGGUGAAAUUCUGUAAUCCUGGGGGGACCACCAGUGGCGAAGGCGUCUAGCUAGAACGGGUCUGACGGUGAGGAACGAAGCCCUGGGGCGCAAACCGGAUUAGAUACCCGGGUAGUCCAGGGUGUAAACGCUGCUUGCUUGAUGUUAGUUGGGCUCCGAGCCCAAUUAGUGUCGGAGAGAAGUUGUUAAGCAAGCUGCCUGGGAAGUACGAUCGCAAGAUUGAAACUUAAAGGAAUCGGCGGGGGAGCACAGCAACGGGUGGAGCGUGCGGUUU